GGCCCUGGGGUGUCAAGACAUAUAAGAUUGCAAAUCUUAGGUAGCAGGCUACUUACCUGCCUGGGCUU
RNAcentral lists this transfer RNA (68 nucleotides) under Anabas testudineus (climbing perch). RNAcentral describes it as "tRNA-Cys". The record is from RNAcentral. Lineage: Eukaryota; Metazoa; Chordata; Actinopteri; Anabantiformes; Anabantidae.